RNAcentral lists this ribosomal RNA (877 nucleotides) under Tetraclita achituvi. RNAcentral's name for it is "partial 16S ribosomal RNA". The stretch from base 388 to 626 matches the Rfam family "Archaeal large subunit ribosomal RNA", at positions 1786 to 2143 of the family's 2987-position model. Lineage: Eukaryota; Metazoa; Arthropoda; Thecostraca; Balanomorpha; Tetraclitidae. The record is from RNAcentral.
UUUCUCGAAAGUAAAAGAUCUAAAUUAGUUUGUUAGUUUUUGUGUCAAAAAAAUUAAGGAGAUGAAUUUAGGUGUGAUAUGUUUAUCGUUUUUACUGAUAUCUAGUAAUUUCAGAAAUAAAUUUAGUUUAGGCUUUUGAGAAUUUCUUAUUUUUUAUAGGGUCUUAUGUCUUAGGGGAUGAGCUCUAGGAUAAAUUUAAAAGAAAAUAUUUGUAUUAAGUUUUUAGUAGGCUUAGAAUUGGUCAUAAGAUAGUGUUAUAAGAUAAAAAUUUAAGAUUAUAAUUUAUUUUUCUUUAAAUUUUAUGGGAUUAAAUGUAAAAUGAAAUAGAAAUUGAAAAUAUGAUAAUAUAAGUAGAAUAAAAUUUAAAUUUUACAUAGAGGUGAAAUAUAAAAUUUGUAACAAAAGAACUCGGCAAAAAAGAUUUCCGAAUGUUUAACAAAAACAUUUCCUCUUGAUGAAGGGAGGUAAGGCCUGCUCACUGAAAUUUAAAGAGCCGCAGUAUUUUGACUGUGCUAAGGUAGCAUAAUCAUUAGUCUUUUAAUUGGAGACUGGUAUGAAUGGUUAAACGAGAAAUCAACUUUUUUUGUUAUAGAAAUUGAAUUUAAUUUUUUAGUGAAAAAGCUAAAAUAUUUCAGAAAGACGAGAAGACCCUAUAGAGUUUUAUAUUUAAGAAAAUUUUUUUCUAUUAGAUUUUUUUGAAUAUAAUUUUUGAUAGUAUUUUGUUGGGGCGACAUUAAGAUAAAAGAAACUCUUUAUUUUUAAAACUUUAUUUAAAGAAUUAUUUGAUCCUUUAAAAAAGAUCAAAAGAAAAAAUUACCUUAGGGAUAACAGCGUAAUCUUUUUUGAGAGUUCUAAUCGACAAAAAGGUUUGCGACCU